RNAcentral lists this ribosomal RNA (497 nucleotides) under uncultured bacterium. RNAcentral describes it as "partial 16S ribosomal RNA". It matches the Rfam family "Bacterial small subunit ribosomal RNA", at positions 28 to 507 of the family's 1533-position model. The record is from RNAcentral.
GAUGAACGCUGGCGGCGUGCCUAAUACAUGCAAGUCGAGCGAACGGACGAGAAGCUUGCUUCUCUGAUGUUAGCGGCGGACGGGUGAGUAACACGUGGAUAACCUACCUAUAAGACUGGGAUAACUUCGGGAAACCGGGGCUAAUGCCGGAUAAUAUUUUGAACCGCAUGGUUCAAAAGUGAAAGACGGUCUUGCUGUCACUUAUAGAUGGAUCCGCGCUGCAUUAGCUAGUUGGUAAGGUAACGGCUUACCAAGGCAACGAUGCAUAGCCGACCUGAGAGGGUGAUCGGCCACACUGGAACUGAGACACGGUCCAGACUCCUACGGGAGGCAGCAGUAGGGAAUCUUCCGCAAUGGGCGAAAGCCUGACGGAGCAACGCCGCGUGAGUGAUGAAGGUCUUCGGAUCGUAAAACUCUGUUAUUAGGGAAGAACAUAUGUGUAAGUAACUGUGCACAUCUUGACGGUACCUAAUCAGAAAGCCACGGCUAACUACGUG